GACUCGUUAGCUCAGUUGGUAGAGCACAACACUUUUAAUGUUGGGGUCUCGGGUUCGAGCCCCGAACGGGUCACAA
This 76-nucleotide transfer RNA is filed under the name Bacteroidales bacterium WCE2004. RNAcentral's name for it is "tRNA_Lys_TTT". It matches the Rfam family "tRNA". Rfam says of the family: Transfer RNA (tRNA) molecules are approximately 80 nucleotides in length. Their secondary structure includes four short double-helical elements and three loops (D, anti-codon, and T loops). Further hydrogen bonds mediate the characteristic L-shaped molecular structure. tRNAs have two regions of fundamental functional importance: the anti-codon, which is responsible for specific mRNA codon recognition, and the 3' end, to which the tRNAs corresponding amino acid is attached (by aminoacyl-tRNA synthetases). tRNAs cope with the degeneracy of the genetic code in two manners: having more than one tRNA (with a specific anti-codon) for a particular amino acid; and 'wobble' base-pairing, i.e. permitting non-standard base-pairing at the 3rd anti-codon position. Lineage: Bacteria; Pseudomonadati; Bacteroidota; Bacteroidia; Bacteroidales. RNAcentral also lists the same sequence under 2 other names. The record is from RNAcentral.